UACGGGGGGGGCAAGCGUUGUUCGGAAUUACUGGGCGUAAAGCGUGCGCAGGCGGUUGUGCAAGACAGGUGUGAAAUCCCCGGGCUUAACCUGGGAACUGCACUUGUGACUGCACGGCUGGAGUACGGCAGAGGGGGAUGGAAUUCCGCGUGUAGCAGUGAAAUGCGUAGAUAUGCGGAGGAACACCGAUGGCGAAGGCAGUCCCCUGGGCCUGUACUGACGCUCAUGCACGAAAGCGUGGGGAGCAAACAGG
Molecule: ribosomal RNA, 253 nt
Filed under: uncultured bacterium
Lineage: Bacteria
Description: partial 16S ribosomal RNA
Rfam family: Bacterial small subunit ribosomal RNA
Source: RNAcentral